UACGGGGGGGGCAAGCGUUGUUCGGAAUUACUGGGUUUAAAGGGUGCGUAGGUGGGUCUGUAAGUCAGUGGUGAAAUCUCCGAGCUUAACUCGGAAACUGCCAUUGAUACUAUAGGUCUUGAAUUAUCUGGAGGUAAGCGGAAUAUGUCAUGUAGCGGUGAAAUGCUUAGAUAUGACAUAGAACACCAAUUGCGAAGGCAGCUUACUACGGAUAUAUUGACACUGAGGCACGAAAGCGUGGGGAUCAAACAGG
Molecule: ribosomal RNA, 253 nt
Filed under: uncultured bacterium
Lineage: Bacteria
Description: partial 16S ribosomal RNA
Rfam family: Bacterial small subunit ribosomal RNA
Source: RNAcentral